This 386-nucleotide ribosomal RNA is filed under the name Candidatus Bathyarchaeota archaeon. Its description in RNAcentral is "bacterial SSU rRNA". It matches the Rfam family "Archaeal small subunit ribosomal RNA", at positions 1095 to 1478 of the family's 1478-position model. The record is from RNAcentral. Lineage: Archaea; Thermoproteati; Candidatus Bathyarchaeota.
ACUAGGGGGACCGCCGCCGAUAAGGCGGAGGAAGGAGUGGGCCACGGCAGGUCAGUAUGCCCCGAAUCCCCCGGGCCACACGCGAGCUGCAAUGGCAGGGACAAUGGGUUUCGACCCUGAGAGGGGGAGGUAAUCUCUAAACCCUGCCUCAGUUGGGAUCGAGGGCUGUAACUCGCCCUCGUGAACAUGGAAUGCCUAGUAAUCGCGUGUCAUCAUCGCGCGGUGAAUACGUCCCCGCUCCUUGCACACACCGCCCGUCGCUCCAUCCGAGUGGGGUCUGGAUGAGGCAUGGUCCUUUGUGGCUGUGUCGAAUCUAGGCUCUGUGAGGAGGGAGAAGUCGUAACAAGGUGGCCGUAGGGGAACCUGCGGCCGGAUCACCUCCUAAG